AUUGAACGCUGGCGGCAGGCUUAACACAUGCAAGUCGAGCGGGGUGAUGGUGCUUGCACUAUCACUUAGCGGCGGACGGGUGAGUAAUGCUUAGGAAUCUGCCUAUUAGUGGGGGACAACAUCUCGAAAGGGAUGCUAAUACCGCAUACGUCCUACGGGAGAAAGCAGGGGAUCUUUAUGACCUUGCGCUAAUAGAUGAGCCUAAGUCGGAUUAGCUAGUUGGUGGGGUAAAGGCCUACCAAGGCGACGAUCUGUAGCGGGUCUGAGAGGAUGAUACGCACACUGGGACUGGGACACGGCCCAGACGCCUACGGGAGGCAGCAGUGGGGAAUAUUGGACAAUGGGGGGAACCCUGAUCCAGCCAUGCCGCGUGUGUGAAGAAGGCCUUAUGGUUGUAAAGCACUUUAAGCGAGGAGGAGGCUCUUUUGGUUAAUACCCAGAAUGAGUGGACGUUACUCGCAGAAUAAGCACCGGCUAACUCUGUGCCAGCCGCCGCCGUAA
This 501-nucleotide ribosomal RNA is filed under the name uncultured bacterium. Its description in RNAcentral is "partial 16S ribosomal RNA". It matches the Rfam family "Bacterial small subunit ribosomal RNA", at positions 30 to 523 of the family's 1533-position model. The record is from RNAcentral.